CUUUUUCUUCGAUUAGAACUCUAAGAAAAAAUUACGCUGUUAUCCCUAAGGUAAUUUUUCUUUUAAUCUUAAAAAAAGGAUCAAUUAAAUCACUUAUUUAUGAAAAUUAAAUAAAAAAAGUUAAUUAAAUUUUUCAAUCACCCCAAUUAAAUACUCUGUUUAUAAAGUAAAAUUUUUAAUAAUAUAUUUAUAUUUUCCACAUUUUUAACUUUAAAAUAAAAUAUUAAACUCUAUAGGGUCUUCUCGUCUUUUAUAAAAAUUUAAGCUUUUUAACUUAAAAAUAAAAUUCAAAAUAUUUAAACUGAGACAGCUAUUUUUUCAUCAAACCUUUCAUUCCAGCUUUCAAUUAAAAAACUAAUGAUUAUGCUACCUUAGCACAGUCAAAAUNCUGCGGCCGUU
RNAcentral lists this ribosomal RNA (399 nucleotides) under Ips avulsus. RNAcentral's name for it is "partial 16S ribosomal RNA". Lineage: Eukaryota; Metazoa; Arthropoda; Insecta; Coleoptera; Curculionidae. The record is from RNAcentral.